This 956-nucleotide unclassified non-coding RNA is filed under the name Hevea brasiliensis (rubber tree). The record is from RNAcentral. Lineage: Eukaryota; Viridiplantae; Streptophyta; Magnoliopsida; Malpighiales; Euphorbiaceae.
AACAAACAUAACAGAAGAAUUAUAAGGCUGUGAUUAAUUAGGAUAUGCUAAUACUUCUACUGCAAAUUGGAUUACACAGUGAUGUCCAUGAUUUCUAUACUCUCACUGACACAGGAAAUCCUAAUGCUAUAAAAACACAAGGAUACCCUUCUAUUUUCUUUUUAAUAGAGUCCAGAACACAAGUUUCUGCUUUCAUAAAAGUCAACAAGAACUCUUGUCUUGUUUUCCACCAGCAAAGCAAACAAAUUGGAAGAAGCAUUUAUGAAAUCAGUGGUAACCAUAGGAUUUUCAAGUGCUAACCAAGUUUCAUUUCAAAAAAUUUUUACUACUUACUAGUCUUCCAAGAUGUUUAAUCUACCUUUGGUUAUAUUAUAUUUUCAGCCACCCGCUAGCUCCUAUUGCAAAUUAUUGGAACUUUACUUUUGUCAGUGAUAUAGCCUAAAUAAGAUCCCUUCAUAGCUGGUCCCAAGCGCAUAUAAAGGACAAGGUUGUGAAUUGUGAUAGGUAAUAGCCAGCAUAAAACGUUUAUAACAUCUCAAUAUGUGGAUCCAAAUAAAUAUUGUUGGAAUGUAAAUGUAAUGCUAAACUGGGUGGAAUUAGUUGAACCAAAUUGAUUAGUCUUCAUGCAUUUCAUUUUUCUCAAAAUCAAUAGCUUCAGUGUCAAGAAUCCAGAUUUGAUGUGACAACAUUAGAUUAUGACCUUUAAUACAGAGGAAAAUAAAUAAUGGAGAUGUUACCUGAACAAAUUUUCCAAACCCACGGCCAAGAGGAGAUCCAUGAAAGAGAGCAAGUGUUGCUCCAUUUAGAAAGCAUGAGUAAAGUAAAAUUGGUCCCAUCACCCAUCCUAAAUUUGUGGGCCAGCAGUAAACAUCACCAACUUGAAUAUCAAUGUGAGCCCACGCAUCGCUAGCACAUCGAAUUGGAGAAAGUUGGGUCCAUAAUAUAGCUUUUGGUUC